GUCUGUGGAGCUAGGGUUAGUGUCAGUUUUUUGAGCUGGAGUGGGUCAGGUGAGUCUU
This 58-nucleotide transfer RNA is filed under the name Centrorhynchus clitorideus. RNAcentral describes it as "tRNA-Lys". The record is from RNAcentral. Lineage: Eukaryota; Metazoa; Acanthocephala; Palaeacanthocephala; Polymorphida; Centrorhynchidae.